RNAcentral lists this ribosomal RNA (498 nucleotides) under uncultured bacterium. RNAcentral describes it as "partial 16S ribosomal RNA". It matches the Rfam family "Bacterial small subunit ribosomal RNA", at positions 30 to 523 of the family's 1533-position model. The record is from RNAcentral.
AUUGAACGCUGGCGGCAUGCCUUACACAUGCAAGUCGAACGGUAACAGGUCUUCGGAUGCUGACGAGUGGCGAACGGGUGAGUAAUACAUCGGAACGUGCCUAGUAGUGGGGGAUAACUACUCGAAAGAGUGGCUAAUAUCGCAUGAGAUCUACGGAUGAAAGCAGGGGAUCGCAAGACCUUGUGCUACUAGAGCGGCCGAUGGCAGAUUAGGUAGUUGGUGGGAUAAGAGCUUACCAAGCCGACGAUCUGUAGCUGGUCUGAGAGGACGAUCAGCCACACUGGGCCUGAGACACGGCCCAGACUCCUACGGGAGGCAGCAGUGGGGAAUUUUGGACAAUGGGCGAAAGCCUGGUCCAGCAAUGCCGCGUGCAGGAUGAAGGCCUUCGGGUUGUAAACUGCUUUUGUACGGAACGAAAAGCCCCGGGUUAAUACCCUGGGGUCAUGACGGUACCGUAAGAAUAAGUACCGGCUAACUACGUGCCAGCAGCCGCCGUAA